GUUUACGUCUAUUGCAUGAAAGGAAGAAAAAAACAAAAGCCUUUGUAUUAUUAUUACCCUCCUAAUUUGUCAUUUUGGUUGAGUGAGGCAUAUUGUCAAACAGCUUAGCCAUACAACGAGUUUAGUAAGAAAUUAUACAUAAAACUCCCAUAGAUUAGGCAAAAUAAUCCCUCUCUUCAUCUAGUUUUUUGUGUCGGUAGUGAAUUUAACUGUAAAAGCUGCUAUCUAUAAAUAGUCUCCCCUCCUUCUCGUGAUCCCUCACAAUUAUUACGACAAAUCUUUGACUCUUUUUCUUACCAAAAAAGAAAGAAAAAAAAAAGAUUGUUUUCUCUUACCAGUCCAAACCAGAUCUAAUAACAAGGGUGUUAAAAUUUUCUUGAUUUUGCAAUUUGCAGGACUGUAAUGUCGUCUACUGUGAAAUCUUUGUAUUCAAAUGGCGUUGAUGUAACGAAAUCUGAGACCCCUUUUGUUGUUUCUGAUCCAAUUUUAAGCAAUGGAACCAAAAAUUCCAAGCCGUUCAAGAUUUUUAUAGGCUAUGAUCCACGAGAAGAUGUUGCUUAUGAGGUUUGUCGUUAUUCCCUUUUGAAAAGAUCAUCAAUCCCACUUGAGAUAACACCCAUUAAGCAAUCUGAGUUGAGGCAACAGGGGUUGUAUUGGCGUGAAAGAGGGAAAUUGGAAAGCACUGAGUUUUCGUUUUCGCGAUUUUUGACACCCCAUUUGGCUGAUUAUGAGGGUUGGGCUAUGUUUGUUGAUUGUGAUUUCUUGUACUUAGGUGAUAUUAAAGAAUUGAGGGAUAGGGUUGAUGAUAAAUAUGCUUUAAUGUGUGUACAACAUGACUAUACUCCGAAAGAGACUACGAAAAUGGAUGGUGCAGUGCAGACUGUUUAUCCUCGGAAGAAUUGGUCAUCCAUGGUUCUUUAUAACUGUGGGCAUCCAAAGAACCGGGCUUUAACACCCGAGGUGGUGAAUUCUGAGUCCGGGGCAUUUCUUCAUCGAUUCAUGUGGUUGGAGGAUGAGGAGAUUGGGGAGGUUCCAUUUGUGUGGAACUUCCUUGUGGGGCAUAAUAAGGUCGUUGAGGGUGAUCCCGCUACACUUCCUAAGGCAAUUCACUAUACACUUGGUGGACCCUGGUUUGAGGCUUGGAAAGAUUGUGAAUUUGGUGAUUUGUGGUUGAAGGAAUUGGAAGAGUGCAAGAAGGCAAAGGGGAAGGUUGGUUAAGACGAUGUAGACAACGUCAUUUAAAUUGCAGUGUGUAUUUUAAGCGGUAUUUCUCUGUGAAUGUUGGUUAAUGCUGCAGAUUGCAUAAGCAUCACAUGUUGAAGAGGAUUGUUGGCCACUGGCCCAUCUUCUCCUCAGAGGUCUACCUUCUUAAUGUGGUAACUGCAGCAGAGAUCACAGGAAUCAUUGAAUGCUCAAAUAAUUGAGGUCUCAACGUGAAAAACGGGUUCUGAAGAUCAAGUACUUCCUCCGUUUCAAUAUGUUCGCCUUUCUUUCCUUUCUAGUCUACUGCCUCUUUCCUUUUUCGACAACUAUUCAAUUCCAACUUUCCACACGGAAAGUUUAAGACCACAAGAUUCAAAAGUCUUCUCUACUCCGUGUCAGGUCAAAGCGAGAAAAAACAAAUUGAAACAGAGGGAGUAGGGGUUCAAUAAUGUAAGAUAGCUCGUGAUGUUGUCUGCAACUAACUGCUUUAGUGAAGUACCUUCUAGUAGGGUGUCCCAACUUUAAAUGUUAACUUGUCCUACAUUUGUAUAAUUGAACUUGGCUGUACCCUCGCUGGAGUUCUCCAGCUACCCUUGUUCUUUUGUUGGUGAAAUCAUCAGUCUAUUGAACUAGCAAUUUUUUUCUAAAAUCAUUGAGUGAUUGUACUUUUAUUGACAUCAGAUAUGCUAAUAGUACAAAACAAGAAUGAUUAUUGAUGCAGCUAAA
RNA transcript from Capsicum annuum, 1929 nucleotides. It is a transcript of the gene named protein CDI, with no coding region annotated. The transcript has 4 exons. The record is from RefSeq and is a predicted model, not a curated record. NCBI's taxonomy places the organism in Eukaryota, Viridiplantae, Streptophyta, Magnoliopsida, Solanales, Solanaceae.